This 51-nucleotide non-coding RNA is filed under the name bovine gut metagenome. The record is from RNAcentral. RNAcentral also lists the same sequence under 1 other name.
UUGGUGGAUAGAUUUGAUUGCUUGCAACCACAGAAAAAAAUGCUAAAAUGA